RNAcentral lists this ribosomal RNA (429 nucleotides) under Chloroflexota bacterium. RNAcentral describes it as "Chloroflexi bacterium partial 16S ribosomal RNA". It matches the Rfam family "Bacterial small subunit ribosomal RNA", at positions 355 to 776 of the family's 1533-position model. The record is from RNAcentral. Lineage: Bacteria; Bacillati; Chloroflexota.
UGGGGAAUAUUGCACAAUGGGCGCAAGCCUGAUGCAGCUAUGCCGCGUAUAUGAAGAAGGCCUUCGGGUUGUAAAGUACUUUCAGCGGCGAGGAAGGGAGUAAAGUUAAUACCUUUGCUCAUUGACGUUACCCGCAGAAGAAGCACCUGCUAACUCCGUGCCAGCAGCCGCGGUAAUACGGAGGGUGCAAGCGUUAAUCGGAAUUACUGGGCGUAAAGCGCACGCAGGCGGUUUGUUAAGUCAGAUGUGAAAUCCCCGGGCUCAACCUGGGAACUGCAUCUGAUACUGGCAAGCUUUAGUCUCGUAGAGGGGGAGAGAAUUCCAGGUGUAGCGGUGAAAUGCGUAGAGAUCUGGAGGAAUACCGGUGGCGAAGGAGGCCCCCUGGACGAAGACUGACGCUCAGGUGCGAAAGCGUGGGGAGCAAACAGG